Molecule: ribosomal RNA, 478 nt
Filed under: uncultured bacterium
Lineage: Bacteria
Description: partial 16S ribosomal RNA
Rfam family: Bacterial small subunit ribosomal RNA
Source: RNAcentral
GACGAACGCUGGUGGCGUGCUUAACACAUGCAAGUCGAGCGGGAUUUAGUAAACAGAAGCCUCGGUGGAAGAUUACUAAUGAGAGUGGCGAACGGGUGAGUAACGCGUGAGCAACCUGCCUAUGACAGUGGGAUAGCCUCGGGAAACCGGGAUUAAUACCGCAUAAAAUCGUAGAAACACAUGUUUUAACGGUCAAAGAUUUAUCGGUCAUAGAUGGGCUCGCGUCUGAUUAGCUAGUUGGUGAGAUAACAGCCCACCAAGGCGACGAUCAGUAGCCGGUCUGAGAGGAUGAACGGCCACAUUGGAACUGAGACACGGUCCAAACUCCUACGGGAGGCAGCAGUGGGGAAUAUUGCACAAUGGGGGAAACCCUGAUGCAGCGACGCCGCGUGAACGAAGAAGGUAUUCGUAUCGUAAAGUUCUGUCCUAUGGGAAGAUAAUGACAGUACCAUAGAAGAAAGCUCCGGCUAAAUACGUG